UGGGGAAUCUUCCGCAAUGGGCGAAAGCCUGACGGAGCAACGCCGCGUGGGGGACGAAGGCCUUCGGGUCGUAAACCCCUGUCAUGGGGAAAGAAGGGCAUCAGGGUGAACAGCCUUGGUGCUUGACGGUACCCCAAGAGGAAGCCACGGCCAACUCCGUGCCAGCAGCCGCGGUAAUACGGAGGUGGCAAGCGUUGUUCGGAAUUACUGGGCGUAAAGGGCGCGUAGGCGGGGAGGUAAGUCGGGUGUGAAAUCCCUCGGCUCAACCGAGGAACGGCGCCCGAAACUGUCUCUCUUGAGUCCCGGAGAGGAAGGUGGAAUUCCCGGUGUAGCGGUGAAAUGUGUAGAGAUCGGGAGGAACACCGGUGGCGAAGGCGGCCUUCUGGACGGUGACUGACGCUGAGGCGCGAAAGCGUGGGGAGCAAACGGG
RNAcentral lists this ribosomal RNA (430 nucleotides) under Bacillota bacterium. RNAcentral describes it as "Firmicutes bacterium partial 16S ribosomal RNA". It matches the Rfam family "Bacterial small subunit ribosomal RNA", at positions 355 to 776 of the family's 1533-position model. Lineage: Bacteria; Bacillati; Bacillota. The record is from RNAcentral.